RNAcentral lists this long non-coding RNA (1038 nucleotides) under Piliocolobus tephrosceles (Ugandan red Colobus). RNAcentral's name for it is "lncRNA (ENSPTEG00000019039.1)". Lineage: Eukaryota; Metazoa; Chordata; Mammalia; Primates; Cercopithecidae. The record is from RNAcentral.
UGUUAAAUCAUGUAUUUCGGCAUGAAGUUAUGUGUUUUAAUAAAAUAUAUCCUGGAACAAAAAUUGUAUAUGACAGUGGUGGUGAUAAUCAUAUGCAAAAAAACAUUAACAAAUAUCAUGCAUUGGAUUUUAAACAUGGUAGAAAAGGUACGAACCAAUUAGAACACACAUUUGAGAAUGAUUUAUAUUUUGAUGAUUAUUUCAACGAUUUUAUGAAAAGUAGAAAACAGGUAAAUAGUUUACAACAGAAUGGAGAUAUAGAUUACGACAUCCUUAAUAAAAUAUAUAAACCUACCCCUUUUAAAUAUGGAUUAAUAGAUAGGAAUGCAGAAUAUAUAUUGAAACAAGGUAGAUUGCAAAAAGCAAUGGAGUUAGAAAUAAAAACAAGAAAAGUGAAAGGUGUUAAUCAUUUAUUUAAUAUGCAGUUUGAUAUGUCCAGAAAUGAAAUGACACAAUACAAAGAAGAUGAUAUAAUUAGUGACGACUGGAAAUCGGAUGAUAGUGGUAUGGGGAGUAGUACUAGUCGUAAUAGUAUGAUGGUUGUUAGAAAUGGUGAAAGUGGUAGUGGUGGUAGUAGUGGUAGUAGUAGUGGUGGUAUUAGCAUUAGUAGUAGUAGUGGUAGUGGUAGUGGUAGUGGUAGUGGUAGUAGUGCCUAUAUGAGUGGUCCCGAUAGGACAAAAAGUAAACUAAGGAAUAAUUCACGAAGUCGUAAUAAUGUUUCAAUAGGAACAUCUAAAAGGAAGAAAAAUAAAAAAAAUACGAAUACAAGGAUGUUAAACAGUAAAGGGUUUCAAAAAAUUAAUAAUAUAUAUAAUAAACAAGAGUCUAAAAAAAAGCUACUAACAUCUGAAAAAAAUAUGAGUGGUAAUUUUGCUUACGACUAUUUAACAAACAAAACAUUUAAUGUUAUAUUUUUAAAAAAUAUAAAUUUGGAUAAUAGAUCGUUUCAUAAACUAUCAAGAGGAUUGUUGUUGUUAGUUAGUCGAUUAUUGAAACCAGUUAUAUUUCUUCGAUUGUUUCGAUAUGAGAAAUUUAAAU